Molecule: transfer RNA, 71 nt
Filed under: Callithrix jacchus (white-tufted-ear marmoset)
Lineage: Eukaryota; Metazoa; Chordata; Mammalia; Primates; Cebidae
Rfam family: tRNA
About the family: Transfer RNA (tRNA) molecules are approximately 80 nucleotides in length. Their secondary structure includes four short double-helical elements and three loops (D, anti-codon, and T loops).
Source: Rfam by way of RNAcentral
ACUUUUAAAGGUUAGAAAUAAUCUAUUGGUCUUAGGAACCAAAGAUAUUGGUGCAACUCCAAAUAAAAGUA